UACGUAGGGGGCAAGCGUUAUCCGGAUUUACUGGGUGUAAAGGGUGCGUAGGUGGCUAUGCAAGUUUGAUGUGAAACCUUAAGGCUUAACCUUAAGCAUGCAUCAAAAACUGCAAAGCUAGAGUGCAGGAGAGGAAAGUGGAAUUCCUAGUGUAGCGGUGAAAUGCGUAGAUAUUAGGAGGAACACCAGUAGCGAAGGCGGCUUUCUGGACUGUAACUGACACUGAGGCACGAAAGCGUGGGAAGCAAACAGGAUUAGAUACCCUGGUAGUCCACGCCGUAAACGAUGAAUGCUAGGUGUUGGGCUCUACGGAGCUCGGUGCCGAAGUUAACACAUUAAGCAUUCCACCUGGGAAGUACGAUCGCAAGAUUGAA
This 374-nucleotide ribosomal RNA is filed under the name uncultured bacterium. Its description in RNAcentral is "bacterial SSU rRNA". It matches the Rfam family "Bacterial small subunit ribosomal RNA", at positions 524 to 898 of the family's 1533-position model. The record is from RNAcentral.